This 407-nucleotide ribosomal RNA is filed under the name uncultured bacterium. Its description in RNAcentral is "partial 16S ribosomal RNA". It matches the Rfam family "Bacterial small subunit ribosomal RNA", at positions 29 to 526 of the family's 1533-position model. The record is from RNAcentral.
AUUGAACGCUGGCGGCAUGCCUAACACAUGCAAGUCGAGCGGAGCGGCGGACGGGCGCGUAAGGCCUAGGAAUCUGCCUGGCCGUGGGGGAUAACGUACGGGAACGGGAGCUAAUAUAGCAUACUUGCAGCUGACCCUAGGUGGGAUUAGCUAGUUGGUGGGGUAAAGGCCUACCAAGGCGACGAACCGUAACUGGUCUGAGAGGAUGAUCAGUCACACUGGAACUGAGACACGGUCCAGACUCCUACGGGAGGCAGCAGUGGGGAAUAGUGGGCAAUGGGCGAAAGCCGGACCCAGCCAUGCCGCGUGUGUGAAGAAGGUCUUCGGAUUGUAAAACACUGUAAGUAGGGAGGCGUUACCAACAGAGAAAGCAACGGCUAACUACGUGCCAGCCGCCGCGGUAAUUC